RNAcentral lists this long non-coding RNA (609 nucleotides) under Sorghum bicolor (sorghum). RNAcentral's name for it is "long non-coding RNA (SBIC_LNC014015)". Lineage: Eukaryota; Viridiplantae; Streptophyta; Magnoliopsida; Poales; Poaceae. The record is from RNAcentral.
GCAGCUCGGAGCCGGCGACCCACACGUGGGCCACGGCCUCACGCUGUGCCGCCGCCGGACAGAGAUUCAGUAACUUGCCUUGAGCAAGUCACGACGUAACUUACCUUCUUCAUCCAUUCUUCCAGAGUCUUGUUUAGUUCAAAUUUUUUUUAUAAAAUUAAAAAAAUUCAGAUAUUUUCCGUCACAUCAAAUUUUACAGCACGUGUAUGGAACAUUAAAUAUAGAUAAAAAAUAAUUAAUUACACAGUUUGUCUAUAAUUUGCGAGAUGAAUCUUUUGAGCCUAGUUAAUCUAUGAUCGGAUAAUAUUUAUCAAAUACAAACGAAAAUGCUACACUAUCUAUUUUGUAAAUUUUUUUUUGGAACUAAACAAGGCCCAAAUCAGAUCCAGUGGCUCAAAACAGAUCCAGCCCUUCAACUCAUGAGACUUGGUUGUAUUUUCGGACAUAGAUAGUAGAUAGCAGCAUAAUUCAUAGUUUCAAAAAAAAAGGAAAAAAGUCAAUAAUUUAGGUCCAUAAUUCAGAUGGACAUAUACAUAGCAGUUUAACAAAGCACAAUAAAAUACAAGUCCAAUCGUAGACUAACUAGACUCAAAAGAUUCAGUGGCUCGC